This 65-nucleotide transfer RNA is filed under the name Sclerotia substriata. RNAcentral's name for it is "tRNA-Pro". The record is from RNAcentral. Lineage: Eukaryota; Metazoa; Arthropoda; Insecta; Coleoptera; Lampyridae.
CAGAUAAUAGUUUAUUAAAAUAUUAACUUUGGAAGUUAAAGAAAAGUUAGAUAACUUUUUUCUGA